This is a small nucleolar RNA of Anolis carolinensis (green anole), 71 nucleotides long. Ensembl annotates it as small nucleolar RNA, C/D box 102. Its record names the gene SNORD102. The record is from Ensembl. NCBI's taxonomy places the organism in Eukaryota, Metazoa, Chordata, Lepidosauria, Squamata, Anolidae.
GGCUUGAUGAUGAUUGUCUCUUAUGAUUGCUUCUGCAAAGUGAGCAAAUCAUUUCACCGGCACUGAAAGCA